AACGAACGCUGGCGGCGUGCCUAACACAUGCAAGUCGUGCGAGAAAGUUCCUUCGGGAGCGAGUAAAGCGGCGCACGGGUGAGUAACACGUAGGUAACCUGCCCCCCAGUCUGGAACAACUAGAGGAAACUCUAGCUAAUGCCGGAUGAGACCACGAUCCCUUCGGGGUUGCGGCCAAAGAUGGCCUCUACUUGUAAGCUAUCGCUGAGGGAUGGGCCUGCGGGCCAUUAGCUUGUUGGUGAGGUAACGGCUCACCAAGGCUGUGAUGGCUAGCUGGUCUGAGAGGAUGACCAGCCACACUGGGACUGAGACACGGCCCAAGA
Molecule: ribosomal RNA, 323 nt
Filed under: uncultured bacterium
Lineage: Bacteria
Description: bacterial SSU rRNA
Rfam family: Bacterial small subunit ribosomal RNA
Source: RNAcentral